This 1024-nucleotide long non-coding RNA is filed under the name Calidris pugnax (ruff). RNAcentral describes it as "lncRNA (ENSCPUG00000002206.1)". Lineage: Eukaryota; Metazoa; Chordata; Aves; Charadriiformes; Scolopacidae. The record is from RNAcentral.
GGGGGGGGUUGGGGUGACGUAGAGAAACCCCCCCCCAAAAAAAUCGGGGGGGGAGGGGUCCUGGAGCUGGUGUCCUCAAGGUCCCCGAGGUCCUCAGGGUGGUGACACCAAGGGCCUGGAGCUCAUGACCCUGGUGGCCCCAAAACGACGUCUCCUGGGGGUCCCCAACCUGGAGGAACCCAAGACGGUGGAUUCCAAGGUCCCCAAGACCAUGUCCCCGAGGUCCCCGAGGUGACGUCUCCUGGGGGUCCUCAAGCUGGAGGAACCCAAGGUCCCCAAGGUCCCCGAGGUGGUGGCUUCAUGGGUCCUGCAGCUGGGGGGCCCCAAGGUUCUUGGCCCCAAUGUCCCCAACCUGGAGGACCCCAAGGUCCCCAAGACCAUGGACUCCAAGGUCCCAAAGCUCAUGUCCCCAAGGUCCCCAAGGUGACGUCUCCUGGGGGUCCUCAAGCUGGGGAACCUCAAGGUCCCCAAGACCAUGUCCCCAAGGUCCCCGAGGUGGCAGUUCCUGGGGGUCCUCAACCUGGAGGACCCCAAGACCAUGGACCCCAAGGUCCCAAAGUCCAUGUCCCCAAGGUCCCCAAGGUGGUGGCCUCUUGGGUCCUGCAGCUGGGGGACCCCAAGGUCCCCAGAGUCCAGGAGGUGACGUCCCCGAGGUGGUGUUUCCUGGGGGUCCCCAAGCUGGAGGUCCCCAAGACCAUGGACUCCAAGGUCCUGGAGCUCAUGUCCCUGGUGUCCCCAAGGUGGUGGCCUUGUAGGACCUCAAGCUGGGGGACCCCAAGGUUCUUGGCACCGAUGUCCCCGAGGUCCCCAAGCUGGAGGACCCCAAGGUCCCCAAGGUGGAGGACCCCAAGGUCCCCAAGACCAUGGACUCCAAGGUCCCAGAGCUCUUGUCCCCAAGGUCCCCAAGGUGGUGGCCUCGGGGGUCCCCAAGCUGGUGGACCCCAAGGUCCCCAGAGUCCAGGAGGUGACGUCCCCAAGGUGGUGUCUCCUGGGGGUCCUCAAGCUGGGGGACCCCAAGGUUCUU